UGAGGAAUAUUGGGCAAUGCCCGAAAGGGUGACCCAGCAACGCCGCGUGGAGGAUGAAGGUCGUAAGAUUGUAAACUCCUGUUAGAGGGGAAGAAUAACUAAGUUUGGAGCUUAGUAUGACUGUACCCUCAGAGAAAGCCCCGGCUAACUACGUGCCAGCAGCCGCGGUAAUACGUAGGGGGCAAGCGUUGUCCGGAUUUACUGGGUGUAAAGGGCGCGCAGGCGGAAUGGAAAGUCAGUGGUGAAAUCCUACAGCUUAACUGUAGAACUGCCUUUGAUACUUUCAGUCUUGAGUUCGGUAGAGAGAGACGGAAUUCCAGGUUUAGUGGUGAAAUACGUAGAUAUCUGGAAGAACACCAGUUGCGAAGGCGGUCUCUUGGUCCGAUACUGACGCUGAGGCGCGAAAGCGUGGGGAGCAAACA
RNAcentral lists this ribosomal RNA (422 nucleotides) under uncultured bacterium. RNAcentral's name for it is "bacterial SSU rRNA". It matches the Rfam family "Bacterial small subunit ribosomal RNA", at positions 355 to 774 of the family's 1533-position model. The record is from RNAcentral.